AUAAAUAUGAUCUAAUAUAUUUUAUAUUAAUUUAAAGUAUCUUAGAGUAUCUCUAAAUUAAUAUAAAUAUUCUAACAUUAAUGAUAUGUAACACCCCGAAAUUUGAUUAAUAUAGUUAAUCAAAUAUUUUGUAUUUUAUUUAAUUAGUUAGUAUGUGGCGUUUUUAAUUUAAAAUAUAUUGAGUUGUAUGUGUAUAUGGUGUAUGGUGGAGUGUUGUGAGAACUCUUUGAUGGAUAGAAUAAUUAAAUUAAUUGGAA
RNAcentral lists this long non-coding RNA (257 nucleotides) under Lathyrus oleraceus (garden pea). RNAcentral describes it as "Pisum sativum (pea) long non-coding RNA (PSAT_LNC030969)". The record is from RNAcentral. Lineage: Eukaryota; Viridiplantae; Streptophyta; Magnoliopsida; Fabales; Fabaceae.